AUGCGUUUAUUGGCUGGGUCGAUCGUUCUUGCGUGGAAGAGGCUUUUGCCCAAUCCCCGCGCGUGCUCCGCUUCCAAUCCUCCUCGCGGGGUGGCGCAGCCCACACCCGCCCCAACCCUAGCCGCCACACCUCUCCUUCCUCCCUCGCUUGACACCAUAGGCGCUGCACCCCCUCCCCUCCUCCUGCUCGGGCGGAUAGCCGCCGGCCGCCGCAUCCCUUCUCCCCCUUCCUCCUCCUUCCUCCUUCCCGCUGGCGCCCAUCGCCCUCGUCCUCGGACAAGGGGCCUUCCGCAGGGAUGGCCACGUCUUCAAACCAGGGGUAGAGGAGCAGGGGAGGGUCAAGAAGCCAGCACUGGGGGUGGAGCAGCCAGGCCAAGGAGGACCCAGGUGGUGGACGCGUCAUGGGAAAGGAGGGCGAUGCCCUUGGCGGGUGUCCGAGCAGGAAGCCGGCGGGGAGCACAUCACCGUAGGCGUCAAGGGAGCCAUGGACAAGCCGCCAGGAGGAGAAAGCUCCUAGUUUGUGGAGGAGACUAUGUGACAGGUGGUGUUUUGGAAUCUAGAUUGAUUUGGAUCUUGGAGAAUGAUUUCUCAGUGUGGUUCAGGUUAAAUUGUUGUCCUACUGUUCCUGCUCAGCCUCCUAAUGUUCUAUGUCUUCGCCGCGCCUUCUUCCAGCUUCUCUAUUGGUUUUCUCUUCACACCGAUCAGGCAGGGGAGGACGAGGCGAAGGGGGAUGGAGAAGUGGUCGAGCUGGAGGCGUACAGGCAGGGCACCCAGAAGACGGAGCUGUGCAACAAGUGGGAGGGCGGCGCCUGCUCCUACGGCGGCUAG
This 828-nucleotide ribosomal RNA is filed under the name Triticum aestivum (bread wheat). Its description in RNAcentral is "partial small subunit ribosomal RNA". Lineage: Eukaryota; Viridiplantae; Streptophyta; Magnoliopsida; Poales; Poaceae. The record is from RNAcentral.